UUCGGGACGCCGGCGAGUGGCGAACGGGUGAGUAACACGUGGAGACCUGCCCUGGGGUGGGGGAUAACAACUGGAAACGGUUGCUAAUACCGCAUACGCCUUACGAGGGAAAGAUUUAUUGCCCCUGGAGGGUUCCGCGUCGGAUUAGCUUGUUGGUGGGGUAACGGCCUACCAAGGCGACGAUCCGUAGCUGGUCUUAGAGGAUGAUCAGCCGCACUGGAACUGAGACACGGUCCAGACUCCUACGGGAGGCAGCAGUGGGGAAUAUUGCGCAAUGGGGGCAACCCUGACGCAGCGAUGCCGCGUGGGUGAAUAAGGCCUUAGGGUUGUAAAGCCCUUUCAGUGGGAACGAUGAUGACGGUACCCACAGAAGAAGCCCCGGCUAACUCCGUGCCAGCAGCCGCGGUAAUACGGAGGGGGCGAGCGUUGUUCGGAAUUAUUGGGCGUAAAGAGCGCGUAGGCGGCUUGUCAAG
Molecule: ribosomal RNA, 473 nt
Filed under: uncultured Magnetococcus sp.
Lineage: Bacteria; Pseudomonadati; Pseudomonadota; Magnetococcia; Magnetococcales; Magnetococcaceae
Description: bacterial SSU rRNA
Rfam family: Bacterial small subunit ribosomal RNA
Source: RNAcentral